Molecule: ribosomal RNA, 254 nt
Filed under: uncultured bacterium
Lineage: Bacteria
Description: partial 16S ribosomal RNA
Rfam family: Bacterial small subunit ribosomal RNA
Source: RNAcentral
UACGGAGGGUGCAAGCGUUGCUCGGAAUCACUGGGCGUAAAGCGUACGCAGGCGGCGCGAUAGGUCGGGUGUGAAAGCCCGGGGCUCAACCCCGGUAUUGCGCCCGAUACUGACGAGCUUGAGUACGGGAGAGGGAUAGCGGAAUUCCUGGUGUAGAGGUGAAAUUCGUAGAUAUCAGGAGGAACACCAGUGGCGAAAGCGGCUUCCUGGCCCGAUACUGACGCUCAUGUACGAAAGCGUGGGGAGCAAACAGG